AGUUAACUGUUUAUGAACUUCAGGUGAUGGAAGAAUUAUGGAAUGGCUCAGACCAACAUCUAAUAAAAUGAA
This 72-nucleotide transfer RNA is filed under the name Schistosoma mansoni. Lineage: Eukaryota; Metazoa; Platyhelminthes; Trematoda; Strigeidida; Schistosomatidae. The record is from RNAcentral.